UACGGGGGGAGCAAGCGUUGUUCGGAUUUACUGGGCGUAAAGGGCGCGUAGGCGGUCAGCACAAGUCAGUUGUGAAAUCUCCGGGCUUAACUCGGAAAGGUCAACUGAUACUGUGCGACUAGAGUGCAGAAGGGGCAACUGGAAUUCUCGGUGUAGCGGUGAAAUGCGUAGAUAUCGAGAGGAACACCUGCGGCGAAGGCGGGUUGCUGGGCUGACACUGACGCUGAUGCGCGAAAGCGUGGGUAGCAAACAGG
This 254-nucleotide ribosomal RNA is filed under the name uncultured bacterium. RNAcentral's name for it is "partial 16S ribosomal RNA". It matches the Rfam family "Bacterial small subunit ribosomal RNA", at positions 524 to 776 of the family's 1533-position model. The record is from RNAcentral.